UCUUGAAAAAACUAAACAUAGACAUACCCUAUGACCCAGCCAUACCACUCUUAGGCAUCUACCCUGGGCAAGAGGAUCCAGGAUAUGAUAAGGGCACCUGCACCUCCAUGUUCAUUGCUGCACAAUUCACAAUAGCCAAGAUAUGGAAACAACCCAGAUGCCCCACUACAGAUGAAUGGAUCAAAAAAAUGUGGCAUCUGUACACAUUGGAAUUCUAUAUAGUGAUUAGAAAUGAUAAAAUAAUGGCAUUUACAGGGAAAUGGAAAGGUAUAGAACAAAUCGUGUUGAGGCAGACAAGCCUAGAACAUAAGACAAAAGGCGCACGGUCUCCUUGGUAUGUGGGUGUUAGAAAUAAAUAACAA
Long non-coding RNA from Perognathus longimembris pacificus (Pacific pocket mouse), 362 nucleotides. RefSeq lists it as uncharacterized. Lineage: Eukaryota; Metazoa; Chordata; Mammalia; Rodentia; Heteromyidae. The transcript has 3 exons. The record is from RefSeq and is a predicted model, not a curated record.